UGGGCAGGACAGAUGACUGCUUCGACAUCCUGUCGGAGAGGAAAGUCCGAGCACCCAAAGCCUCUAGCGUUUUGCGUCUAGAGAGCGGACAAGAAGAGCGGCUAACGGCCGCCGGGAUAUAGCGUCAAUCAACGAACGGACACGUGCCCAACGUUUAUGCGUAAACCCAGGGAAAGUGCCACAGAGACAAUACUAUCUUCCCCUAGCUUCACGCGAAGGAAGAGAAAGGUGAAAAGUGUGAUGAGGUGGUUAUCUCCGACUUCGUUUCGGAGCAAUGUUCUGCCACAUCGCUCCUCCGUCGGUAACGGCGGAGCGUGGUAAACCCUCUUCGGUGCAAGAGCAAGCGAUUCGACAAUCGUCGGAUCAAUGGUCGCUCGCUUGAGGCUUCCUGCAAAUGAAGUCCCAGAGAGAUAGUCAUCCCUCCAGCGAUAUGUUGGAGCGACAGAACUCGGCUUACCGUUCCGCCCCAGCA
Molecule: RNase P RNA, 472 nt
Filed under: Candidatus Uhrbacteria bacterium CG22_combo_CG10-13_8_21_14_all_47_17
Lineage: Bacteria; Candidatus Uhriibacteriota
Description: RNase P RNA component class A
Rfam family: Bacterial RNase P class A
About the family: Ribonuclease P (RNase P) is a ubiquitous endoribonuclease, found in archaea, bacteria and eukarya as well as chloroplasts and mitochondria. Its best characterised activity is the generation of mature 5'-ends of tRNAs by cleaving the 5'-leader elements of precursor-tRNAs. Cellular RNase Ps are ribonucleoproteins.
Source: RNAcentral